Long non-coding RNA from Rhagoletis zephyria (snowberry fruit fly), 6176 nucleotides. RefSeq lists it as uncharacterized. Lineage: Eukaryota; Metazoa; Arthropoda; Insecta; Diptera; Tephritidae. The record is from RefSeq and is a predicted model, not a curated record.
UAAAUGAGCUAAUAGAAAAAAUUAAGUAAGUAAACACUUACACGAACAACAAAUAAAAAACAAAUAUUCAGCAAAACUACAAAUAACAGACAAGCAACAAAAAGAUCCAAACAGCUACAAACAUAAGCAAGGCUAUUCCGCAAGAUUUACGCCAAAAAAAUAAAAAAAUUGCUAGAACUAACUUAACUGAAAAUAUAUAAACAUAAAGAAGAAAAAACACAAAAGUAGCAAACCCUCAACAAUAGACAUACGCCAUGCUCAUUAUUUAUUGCAAACUGCGUUGCAAAAGCUGGCACAAAGCUUUCAACAGCAACAACAACAACAUUUUCAACGAAUGCGAUUUUCCAAGCCACGCAUGCACGUAGCAGUGCACUCACACAACAAAGAAGAAAGACAGUGAGAAAGUCAUGCAACUGUAAGCACUCUCCUAACAUAGGUACGUUCGCACUGCCUAGAAAUAACAGUAAAUACACAGGCAAAUGAGCUUUAUGCAUGAGAGCGACGCGCGCAACAAGGAGCGCACGUUCUUGAGUAAAUCACAUGAAACGCAAGCAACGCUUCUAGAUCAGCGAUGGGCAGGGAGAGCUUUUACUCUGCACGCGACUAUACAAAAUGUAUAGAAAGCUUAAAAGAACUUUGCCCGCGGGCAAGGCGGUGUCCAUCACCGUUCUAGAUACAUACAGAACAACAACACAUACCCAAAACUAAAUACUUGUGCUUUGAGCACUGUGACACAAGAAUGUUAGAGAGUAAAGAACAUUAACAACAGAACAUAUAAAUAAAAAAAAUUGCGUAAAAGUUAGAAAGGAACGAACCAAAGUAGAUAAAUAAUAAGAAAAUGAGAAAAAGAGAAACAGAGAAAAAGAAUGCACGAGAGAGACAGAAAAAGAGAAAGAAACCUAAAACGAAAAUGCCUUCAAAAUUAAAGUAAAAAUUAAAAAAAAAAUAUAUAUAUAUAUAAAGAAGAUAUUAUUAUUUAAUAUUAUGAGUACGCGAAUUUUGGCAUACAUAACAACAACAACAAAAAAAUAUAUAAGUUAGAACCAAAAAAAAAAAAACCUACCUAAAACCACAACAACAACAAAUUAAUUGCAAAUUAGAAAGUUGUAUAAGACAAAAAGUAAAACAAUUAAGCAAACAAAAAAACAUUUAAGUAUUAACAACUUAACAACCAUUUUUCAAAACGAACUCUACUCAAUUUCAUUCUGCGCUAAUUGAUACUCAAGUUCACUUGAAAUUUUUGAAAGCAAAAAAUACAAACCGUUAUAGACUCAAUACUCUUGACGAAGUUUACAAAUAUACUCUUUAACAUAGACCGUAUGAUGAAAACUAAAAACUAACCUUACAUAAAUUUCACUAACCAAAAGAAUUAGUUCGUUCUCCUAAUUCAAGUAAUUAAUAAAACCUUUAUGUAUGUACUCGUAAAUGCAACCUCAACCACAGCAUUGCUGCACUAAUUGCAAAACCAUACUUAAAAAAUCAUACCAAAAAAAAAGCAGGAAAUUGCAUUUCAAAUUGAACGAAUCAGACAAACUGCAGCAAAUCGAAUCAUUUACUGUUAAUUGGAAUUUGUUAUUGAUAUUGGCAAAUUGAUAUUUACAUAAAAGCAAGCUAUGAAACACUUUUUUCAAGAAACAGCGGCUAAUCUGUACAAUUUCUUUCUUUUACUCAACUCCCUCCCAAAAAAAAAAAAAAUAAAAUAAAACUUCCAAAACACACAAUGAGCCCUAUCCUCUGAGAUAACACAGAAACGAAGAAACUGCAAAUUUAUGGUUUUUUGUUAAAUCAUUUAUGUUUGUACAUAAAAAAAGUGCAAGUAAACGGCAGAAAAACACAAAUUAAAGUUAUGACAUAAAAGAGAAAAAUCGCAUUUGCAUUCAAGUUUGUAAAGAGUAAGCAAGAAUAUUGUCGACACACACUAGCCCUAACAGCAACAACACCGAAACAACAAAGAAACAAGCAAACAAAAAACAUCCAACCAGGCUUACAACUACAACAACAACUAGCCAACAUCUGGUCUUACUUAACAUGAAUCCAUAUUGAAAUACGAAGUGCUGUAACGAUUCCACAUUCAACCAAGAGGCUACACAACAAUUCAGCGAUUUGCACUCCAAAAGCGAAUACAUUUGUAACUUUGUGCGUUUUUCUUUACCGAAUUAUUACUUAUGUACUUAUGUGUACUAACUUAGCCGUAUACUUGUGUAACUAUCCAUACUUUAUGUACUCUAUGUUUGACUUUAUGUAGGAUGUCCUACGUACAUAUUUUUAUCAAUAUUUACAUUCAAGCGAUAUGUUUUUUUGUAACAUCACAAAGUAAACUUCUAUAAUGUCGAGUUUGCACGUGGCAUUCAAUGACAAAAUUCACAAAAAAAAAGGCAAUGGCACCUAAAGCGAAUGUUAUAUGGAAACUGAUGAUUACAGUACUUGUUAGAAGUCAACGCGGAAGAAGGACUGAAAUUUUGUCAAUUCAAUGCCUAGUGAAAAUUCGGCUUAACCAAAUAUGGAAAUUUUCUUAGGUUAGCAUCGAAAAAAUUCUGUCUUUAAUUUUUACUUUUACUUAUUUGUCUGUUAGUGAUCAUUUUUCGCAAAGGUCAAGAUUAAACAAACAUCCUUCUUUUCCAAAUUAAUAAAUAAAGUUAAUCGGUAAAACACUAUAUCUAUGAAACUUAAACUCUAUUCGGAAUACACUCAAUUUCGUUUGAAUUACGCUACUUAGGUAAAUUGCGUGGUGGUGGCUGUGUAUUUAAACGAUAACCACGAAGAGCUUUUACGCCGAAUGCGUGCACAUAAAAUUGUAUUUCAACGAUAAGCAGAGAGAGCUUUUACGCUGAAGGCGUACAUAUAAAAUUUAAAUCAAAUUUUAAAAAGCUUUUCCCACUGCAUAUAUGUAUGUAUGUAUUUCGAUCGCGACUGCUGUAUUUUAGCUGUAAAAGUGUUCGUAUGAAGAAAAUUUGUGGGAAGCUUAAAGCUCUGUAUAAAAUAUACGUAAAGCUUUAAAUAGCUUCUACUGUGGCAUAGGUUUUCUUCGUGACUGACUUCGAUAAUUUAGGAAGAAAGAUCGCAGUUGCUAAAUCGUCUACAUACAUGUGUGAGCGACGACCAGAGAGUGCUUUCACUCAAUGCGCGGUAUUUGCUCACCAAGUUUAAUAACUGAUUUCGGCUCCAGCUCUCCUGCAUUCUUAUAAUUUUUGCAGCCAAAGCGCCACUGUUUAAAAAAAAGGGGGUUCGUGUUGUUGCUAAUAUGGUAAGCUGGAUUGCUGCUCGUAAGUGGUUUGUGUGCUCAAUGAAAUUUCGUGAAGAGAGCAGAAUUCAAUACGGUCAUGAUUCAAAGACAAUUUGAGUGCAAGCAGGAAAUUUUUGGCUUUAAAAAUAGGAACAUUUUAAAAUAAAAUUAUUGAUGCAUACAUAACUUUUCUGUACUACAAUAAAUUUGUUGUGCAAUUAUUUACUCUUAAGAAUUUCCUUGUGUAAUAUAAAUUUGUUAAAAAAAAUUAUAAUUGUUAAAUUAUUUAUUGUUAAUUCUUAGGAACUUUAAAUUGUUAAUUAGUUUUUAUUACAAAAAUAUUGAUGCAUUAUUAUAUUUGUUAGAACAAAACAAAAACAAAUUUAUUUAAAAAUAGAAAAUAAAUAAUCAUAAAUAUUAUUUUAAUAAUAACUGUUACAGUCCCCCACUGAACAAAGAUUUUUUCAAAGAAACUAUUCACUUAUUUAGUUUCUAACUUUUCCUUUAGUUGUUACUGAAAAAUUUGCACCUACUUUCUGGUAAAAGAUUUGCGAAAGUAGAAGGCCGGCAUACCCAAAACUUAAAACAUAAACAAACGCAGUUUUUUUUUCUUAAAAACCUUCAAAUUCGUGCAAUCUACAUAGCAAAAAAUGCAAUUUAAUUUUAUGUUCACUAAACGUAGGUAUUUUUUUUUUUUUGCAAUUUAUACAAAACUACUUUCAGUUUUCUUCUGUAUUUUUUUAUUCUAUUGCAGACUCUUGUAACCUUCCUCACAAAGCUCCACAAAACUAUUGUGGUUUCUUCAAACCUUUCGUGUUUUUUUUUCUUUUUAUAUUUUACAGUUUAUUCAGUUUUUCUUACCAACCUUUUCCGCAUCCCCAUUUGCUGAAAUUUCUAAUAAAAUUCUCUGCAUGUAUGUUUUUUACAGAAUACAAAUGAAAAAAAACUAAUAAGUGUAUGUAUUUAUUGUAUGUAUAAUAAAAUUUCUUAGAGCGAUGUUUAGAAUUGUUGUUUACGGCUAUGUCGUGUAUAAUUGUAUUUAUGAAUAAACUACAUACAUAUACUUAUAAUAAUACAUAAAACUGAAAACAAAAAUAAAUGAAACAUAACGCAGGCAACAUUGCAACCCAGAACCUGUAAAUGAAUACGCAUAUAAUUAAAAAAAAUAAUAAUAAUUAGCGUACAAGAACAUACAUACGUGCAUGUAUUAUAGGAUUGUGAAUUAAGUAAAAAAAAAAACACAGUUUCAUGCUUAGAUAUUGUUUUUAUCAAACAAUAAAUAAACUUUGCCAAGCCAUAUUUUUCUGCAAUUUACAAACAAUUUUACGCAUUGAAGGUACAGACAAUUUUUAGCUAAGUAGAAAGUAUUUUCACUCAGAUACCCGAAUUACUAAAACUUUCAACUAACUUUCAGCGAGUUAAAUUAUUACCUAAAUAAAUAUUUCGAUACGGUUUCCUACAAAACAAACACUCAAAAAAACUGGCAGAAAUCAAGUCUAUUAGCGUUCGAAAAUCCCCUUAAAAGUUAAAUCUUAGAUAAAAGUUAAUUUUGAGGCUACUACUCAAAACAGUAACCACGCAGACCUUUAGCCAUUAUGGCGCAGUUGAAAGACCAAAUUUGUAAAGCUUACUCUCGAGCUACUUAUUUAAAAUCUACUUUAGCCUACUUGAACUUAAAGAUUUUUUCUUAUUUUUCCCUAGACUAAAACCUUUGAACUCUUAACGUUCAUAAUAGAUAAUUUCACUUGAAACUAGGAAAAUGAAAAUUAUUAUUAGUAAAAAAUAAUAUAGCAAAAUAAAAAGUAUUUAAAUAUUUGAAAACAAAUAAAAAAGUAAACAAGUUCUAAAAUUAUUUAGUAUAAAUAAAUUAAAUAUAGCUGAAAACAAAAACAAAAUACAAAUUUAGUAACAAAUAGUAAACACAUUCACUACUUGCCCAUAACAAUUGGAGUUAUUACAAAAACUCAGAAAAUGGCGAGACUUAAGUUUAAUAAAUUGCAAAUUUAAAACAAACAACAACAACCAUUCUGGGUGUAAGCCUUUUAGUUACCAAAACAAAAAAAUAAUAAUAAUAAAUAAAAGUCGUAGGUAAAUAAAUUCAGUGCUGAUCAACUUAUAUUAUAGUGAAGCGCAAAGAACGUAUGUAUAUUAAACAAAACCCAAACAUAUACAUAUGUAUUAAGUUAUAUGUAUGUACAUAUAUUGGCUUGUGGAACGAUUAUAAUGAAAACUAGACAAAAUGCAAAGUGUAUAAAAAAAUUGGUUAAAAUUGCCCCGAAAACACACAAACAGAAUAGAACAGAGAAGCACACAUGAGUUUAUACAUAUAUACAUAUAUAGUAAAUGUGCCAUAUUUUAAUGUAUGUAUGUAAAUUAGAAUGGAACGUAAAUUGCAUGAAAAACUCAGCAAGGCAUACAAACAAAAACCGAAUAGCACGAGGAUAAAAGUAAAAACAUAAACUAAAUAUGCAGCAUGUAGCAAGCAAACAAGCAAUGACAUAUACAUAUAUACAAACAUACAUGCAAACAAGCGUAUAUACAAACAAGCAAACAAACAAAAUACAGAGGGAAAACUAAAUGUAUAAAAAGAAAAACCAUUUAUAUGAGUAUAUACAUUAUGUAGUUACAUUAUUAUGUUGAGCUUAAACAAAACAAGGCAAAAAUUAAACAAAACAAAAACGAAACGUUAGAACCCUAAAAGCUCCCGUGCAAACAAAAUGCAAAUAAGAAAAGCAAAAACACAAGAAAAAACUGAAUUCAUAGCGGUACAUGAAAACAAACAAAAAAUACUAAAAACAAAAAUACAAAAACAACAAACAAAAAGCAAAGAAAAAAAAACAAGAAAUGAUGUUACAUUAAUUAAAUUGUUACUUUGAAAAUUUAACACACAUAAAACUUUCAAAAAAAGAAAAACAGCAAAAAAAAACUUGAAUAAAAAUUAUAUAAACUAAAA